Molecule: long non-coding RNA, 2980 nt
Organism: Hyalella azteca
Lineage: Eukaryota; Metazoa; Arthropoda; Malacostraca; Amphipoda; Hyalellidae
Exons: 2
Source: RefSeq, a predicted model, not a curated record
UACGGCCGCGAUGUACUGUGCGAACGACCGUUUAUACUUGUACGACUGUGCCUUUAUUCCUAUUCAUCUCUACGUUUUUUAUUCAGCAAUCAGUCUCUAUGAUAUGCUAACAAUGCUUUAUAUCUGCCUUCUCCUACGCCCUGGACAUUUAUGACAUUACGUCAUUUGUUGAUGGUGAUUUUUACGUCAUUUGUUGACGAUGAAUGUUUUCUGAACUUUAGUGCGAGAAAACUUGCUCUAAAGCAGACGUGAUGUCUUUGGCAACUAUUCAAUACUUGAAAAAACGGUAUUAUGAUUCCAAAAAAAAUGUGCCCAUUGCAAGCGUUCGAACUAAAUUGGCGAUCAAUGUUCAAAUUAAGUUUAACCGCAUCUAUUUUCCAACACGCCGCAUUGUUUCUGUGUGUGACAUUGCUUAAAUUAUAUUUCUAUCAGAUAGAUUUGAUCUCGAAAUUCUUUUUCUACGUCAGUAUAACGGCAUAUAAUGGUGAUAACCAUCCUUUUGAUGCCUCUAACCUGCACAGUUUCCCCUGAACGACGGGCUAGCAAUUGAUGUAAAAGCAUAAUUGUAAUAAGUGAUGAAACCUGCUGGGCACAUUGUGCGAUUUGAAUUAAAUUGUAAAGGGAAAGGCAAAGCAGCUUACUGUGGGGCUUGUAGGGGUUCGAGAAGUAAUUACUUUAUAUACAAUUACUUUAUUUUAUUUUUAUGUUGCCUCAUACAUGGCUCCUCGUGAAGAAUCUAAAAUAUAAUCUGUAAUUUCGUUGUGAGGUUCAUCAUACACUUCACUGUAAAUAUAUAUGUGUUUUACGACUGGAAACGUAAUUGGAAUUUGUUAUUUAUUUUUUCAAAUUGGUUAUUUAGUUAUUGAGUGCAUUGCUAAAGUAAUGAAUGAUGCCUGAGUAACCUUGUGUGACAGAAACGUUUAAUAAAGUGCACUCUGAACAUGUAACGCGGUAGUACCCAUUAAGCUCUUUGUAUGUACACAUUGUCCGUUGAAUUAAUUAUAAAGACCACAUUAACAAUUAGCUUCCAUUCGAAGCUCACUAGUAGGGAAAUCUAUCUAACAGACGUUCACGAUACUCGUUUACUUCUAGUACAGACUCGACUAUCUGAAGAGUGAGUAAAGUUUCUUUCCGUUGAAAACACAACGGAAAAGGUCGUAAAACAAUCUUAACAAAUGUUUAAGCGAUUGGAAAAUUCGUGGAUGUAAUCAGUUUCAUGACCGCCUGAAAACUUGAAUUCUAAUUUACAUCUUGCAUUAUGAAACGUGUCUCUGUUCUAUGUCGAUCUAAGAGAUGUACUUCGAAUAGACGUUUUGAAAACGAGUUCGUUCUACUUGUCAGUAACAUGCAGGCGGCAUCUAUUGACUUCUUGCAUUGAGCUUCACUUUAUCGUAUCUAAUAUGAUGAAGAUACACAAGUAGCCUAUGACCUCAAGUCUAGAUCAAGACAACUAACUUUUUCGUCUGUGAAUAACUCACAAAGUGCUCCUGAGGGUUUACAGCACAUGCAUUCAUUACGGUUAUCACCAUAGCUAAACCUGGCUUAGCGUCGACGCGAUUAAAUGUUGCGUGCUACAGCAAGUCAUCUGCACUUGGCCACCUAUUGUAAUUGUAUCGGCAUUUUCUGUGCGUUAAAUUGAUGGCUUUAUAGUGUGUCAGACGCACGAGUUUGUAAUUAUGUACCUUAAAUAACAUCUGGAUUGUCGUAAUAUCUAUUCACAAGCGUCCUUCUCAACGCCCCAGUUGUGGGUCGUAGUUCACUUUCGUAGGAUUACGGAUUGAGUCUGAAUUUAAGAUAUCCAUAAUGGUUUAAAUAAGAUUAAAAGCUAAGCAACUUCAAGCAUGUGAGUCAAAGUAUAGUGGUGGUUCAGACCCAUACCACAGUCAGGAAAUAUAAUUUUCUUGUAUAGAGCACUGUCCCAGUUUUCUAUUCUGCAACAGUGAAUGAAUGUCAACUAUAAUUGUUAGAUCCAUAAAGGUUUAAAUAAGGUUAAAAGCUAAGAAACUUCAAGCAUGUGGUUCAAAGUAUGUUUCUUAGGUGGACUAUGCCCACCCGUAUUUUACUUUUAAUUACUAAUCAGCUAAUGGUUUCAUAUAGUCAAACACGAUACAUGAUGUUAUACAUCAACUGUAGGUGAAGGCCCGAGCCUUAUUCAUCGUGUCUCCAGACAUACCACAGGCUGUUCUCCUGUGGACUCAUCAAGUGUUCAUGACAUACGCAGUAAUAUUUCUUACGACUACCAGAUAUGGCGCUUUUACUACUGGUGUUUUCGGCACUGCCAAAAAAAUAGUACUGUGGUUGUAUUAUUACAAAAUUAUACUAUGACUACUCAUACGUGCAGGACGUGACUACGCACUUCUCGGAUAUAAAAUAUUUUUGAGGAAUUUGAUCUUCGUUUUAUAUAUAUUUUUUAUCAAAAAACUGAUCAAAUACAUUGGCAUGUGAGUCUGUGAGAUAAGGACUAUGACGAGCAGUGGACUGUCAGUUUUUCGUACAAGUCGUCUUACGUUCACCCAUGAGGACUGAUUUUCCUUUCCAUUAAUGAUGAAAUUUAUUCCUGCCUUCAUCGUAUAAUUAAUAUAUCGUUUGGUAAAGUCAAGAGAUAAAUGUUCAAGUGAGUUCUCUUUAAUAUUUUUAGCUACUAUUUGCGACAUGCCGUUACUUCACGAAACUUUUAGUUUCCGACCGAAAUUUUCGCGUCGAAUGUUGGAUUUGCGAAUGGAAUAUCGCACGGAAACUUUCAAUUUUCCACUUCUUCAACGCUGCGUCACCAUUUCAACCAAAAAAUUUUAGAAUAAAUCGAUGAGGUAAAAAAAAUUAUUAUGUCAAUUAUUUUUAGCGACAGAAGCUUGCGUGCGCAAGUGGGUAAAUCAACGUGACUCUUCGAUCACUUUUCUAUGGCAAUUUAGUAUUCUAUCGAAUUAUCUGCUGUCAAGUAGGACCCAGUUUUUCAUUCCCAAAAAUAUACUCUCUUCUAAUG